GACGAACGCUGGCGGCGUGCCUAACACAUGCAAGUCGAACGAAGCAUUGGAAGCUUGCUUUUGAUGCUUAGUGGCGGACGGGUGAGUAACGCGUGAGCAACCUGCCUUUCAGAGGGGGAUAACGUUUGGAAACGAACGCUAAUACCGCAUAAGCCCACGACCCGGCAAUCGGGUUGAGGGAAAAGGAGCAAUCCGCUUUGAGAUGGCCUCGCGUCCGAUUAGCUAGUUGGUGAGGUAACGGCCCACCAAGGCAACGAUCGGUAGCCCGGACUGAGAGGUUGAACGGCCACAUUGGGACUGAGACACGGCCCAG
Molecule: ribosomal RNA, 313 nt
Filed under: uncultured bacterium
Lineage: Bacteria
Description: bacterial SSU rRNA
Rfam family: Bacterial small subunit ribosomal RNA
Source: RNAcentral